AAUAAUGCAUACGGUGGAUGCCUUGGUCGAAAGUACCGAUGAAGGACGUAACAAGCUGCGAUAAGCUUUGGGGAGCUGCUAAUAAGCUUUGAUCCAGAGAUUUCCGAAUAAAGUAAUUACCCCGCCUCGGCGGGGGAUCCCUACAUGAAUACAUAGUGUCGGGAGGGGUACGCGCCGAACUGAAACAUCUAAGUAAGCGCAGGAAAAUAAAUCAACAGAGAUUCCCCCAGUAGCGGCGAGCGAAAAGGGAGGAGCCCAAACCCUUCGAGUAAUCGAAGGGGGUUGUAGGAAUCCAAUAUCUGACCUUUAAUGGUAGCUAAAUACACUGGAAAGUGUAACCAAAGAGAGUGAGAGUCUCGUAAGCGAAACCAAAAAAGGCGGUAGGAUCACCUGAGUAGCACAGGACACGUGUAAUCCUGUGUGAAUCCAGCAAGACCACUUGCUAAGGCUAAAUAUACUUUCGGACCGAUAGUGAACUAGUACCGCGAGGGAAAGGUGAAAAGAAGAGCGAAACGCUCAGUGAAAUAGUACCUGAAACCGUAUGUUGACAAGCAGUGGAAGUGUGCGUUGCGCAUAGGAUAUAAGGAGAAGGAUAGAAGUGAUCAGUCAAAAUUGACUAAUCAUUACUUCCUAUGAUCCUUCUAUCUUGCGCGCAGCGCAUACGACCGCGUGCCUAUUGAAGAAUGAACCGGUGAGUUACCGCAUCCCUUUUGCUUAAGCCAUUUUGUGGCGGAAGCGUAGUGAAAGCGAGGGUUAAUAGCCCGAUUUAAAGGAUGCGAUAGACCCGAAACCGAGUGAGCUAUCCAUGUCCAGGGUGAACUCCGACGAAAGUCGGAGGGAGGCCCGAACCCGUUGUUGUAUCAAUAACUUGGGAUGAGAUGUGGUUAGAGGUGAUAUGCCUAACGAACUCGGAGAUAGCUG
RNAcentral lists this ribosomal RNA (921 nucleotides) under Candidatus Daviesbacteria bacterium RIFCSPHIGHO2_02_FULL_40_16. RNAcentral describes it as "bacterial LSU rRNA". It matches the Rfam family "Bacterial large subunit ribosomal RNA", at positions 1 to 851 of the family's 2925-position model. Lineage: Bacteria; Candidatus Daviesiibacteriota. The record is from RNAcentral.